GGCCGCCGUCCCCCUGGACGUGUUCACCAGGUAAGCCUCACCUGGCCGCCGUCCCCCUGGACGUGUUCACCAGGUAAGCCUCACCUGGCCGGCCGGGGGGCCGUCCCCCUGGACGUGUUCACCAGGUAAGCCUCACCUGGCCGGCCGGGGGGCCGUCCCCCUGGACGUGUUCACCAGGUAAGCCUCACCUGGCCGAUCGGGGGGGCGUCCCCCUGGACGUGUUCACC
Molecule: long non-coding RNA, 227 nt
Organism: Fundulus heteroclitus (mummichog)
Lineage: Eukaryota; Metazoa; Chordata; Actinopteri; Cyprinodontiformes; Fundulidae
Exons: 3
Source: RefSeq, a predicted model, not a curated record